RNAcentral lists this ribosomal RNA (493 nucleotides) under uncultured bacterium. RNAcentral describes it as "partial 16S ribosomal RNA". It matches the Rfam family "Bacterial small subunit ribosomal RNA", at positions 28 to 523 of the family's 1533-position model. The record is from RNAcentral.
GACGAACGCUGGCGGCGUGCUUAACACAUGCAAGUGGAGCGACGAACCGGGCUUGCCCGGGGCAGAGCCGCGAACGGGUGAGUAACACGUGGGUUACCUGCCGUGAUUACUGGGACAACCCGUCGAAAGACGGGCUAAUACCGGAAGUGCCCGCAAGGGGAAAGGAGGGGUCGGCGGGCGCAUCGCGCGGGGCCCGCGGAGCAUUAGCUUGUUGGUGAGGUAACGGCUUACCAAGGCUUCGAUGCCUAGCUGGUCUGAGAGGACGAUCAGCCACACUGGGACUGAGACACGGCCCAGACUCCUACGGGAGGCAGCAGUGGGGAAUCUUGCGCAAUGCGCGAAAGCGUGACGCAGCAACGCCGCGUGCGGGAAGACGGCCUUCGGGUUGUAAACCGCUUUCAGUUGGGACGAAGCUUCUGCGGUUAAUACCCGUAUGGAGUGACGGUACCUUCAGAAAAAGCCCCGGCUAACUACGUGCCAGCAGCCGCCGUAA